This 1343-nucleotide ribosomal RNA is filed under the name uncultured bacterium. Its description in RNAcentral is "16S ribosomal RNA". It matches the Rfam family "Bacterial small subunit ribosomal RNA", at positions 28 to 1378 of the family's 1533-position model. The record is from RNAcentral.
GACGAACGCUGGCGGCGUGCUUAACACAUGCAAGUCGAACGGAAAGGCCCUGCUUUUGUGGGGUGCUCGAGUGGCGAACGGGUGAGUAACACGUGAGUAACCUGCCCUUGACUUUGGGAUAACUUCAGGAAACUGGGGCUAAUACCGGAUAGGAGCUCCUGCUGCAUGGUGGGGGUUGGAAAGUUUCGGCGGUUGGGGAUGGACUCGCGGCUUAUCAGCUUGUUGGUGGGGUAGUGGCUUACCAAGGCUUUGACGGGUAGCCGGCCUGAGAGGGUGACCGGCCACAUUGGGACUGAGAUACGGCCCAGACUCCUACGGGAGGCAGCAGUGGGGAAUAUUGCACAAUGGGCGGAAGCCUGAUGCAGCAACGCCGCGUGCGGGAUGACGGCCUUCGGGUUGUAAACCGCUUUUGCCUGUGACGAAGCGUGAGUGACGGUAAUGGGUAAAGAAGCACCGGCUAACUACGUGCCAGCAGCCGCGGUGAUACGUAGGGUGCGAGCGUUGUCCGGAUUUAUUGGGCGUAAAGGGCUCGUAGGUGGUUGAUCGCGUCGGAAGUGUAAUCUUGGGGCUUAACCCUGAGCGUGCUUUCGAUACGGGUUGACUUGAGGAAGGUAGGGGAGAAUGGAAUUCCUGGUGGAGCGGUGGAAUGCGCAGAUAUCAGGAGGAACACCAGUGGCGAAGGCGGUUCUCUGGGCCUUUCCUGACGCUGAGGAGCGAAAGCGUGGGGAGCGAACAGGCUUAGAUACCCUGGUAGUCCACGCUGUAAACGGUGGGUACUAGGUGUGGGGUCCAUUCCACGGGUUCCGUGCCGUAGCUAACGCUUUAAGUACCCCGCCUGGGGAGUACGGCCGCAAGGCUAAAACUCAAAGGAAUUGACGGGGCCCCGCACAAGCGGCGGAGCAUGCGGAUUAAUUCGAUGCAACGCGUAGAACCUUACCUGGGUUUGACAUGGAUCGGGAGUGCUCAGAGAUGGGUGUGCCUCUUUUGGGGUCGGUUCACAGGUGGUGCAUGGCUGUCGUCAGCUCGUGUCGUGAGAUGUUGGGUUAAGUCCCGCAACGAGCGCAACCCUUGUUCACUGUUGCCAGCACGUUAUGGUGGGGACUCAGUGGAGACCGCCGGGGUCAACUCGGAGGAAGGUGGGGAUGACGUCAAGUCAUCAUGCCCCUUAUGUCCAGGGCUUCACGCAUGCUACAAUGGCUGGUACAGAGAGUGGCGAGCCUGUGAGGGUGAGCGAAUCUCGGAAAGCCGGUCUCAGUUCGGAUUGGGGUCUGCAACUCGACCUCAUGAAGUCGGAGUCGCUAGUAAUCGCAGAUCAGCAACGCUGCGGUGAAUACGUUCCCGGG